GAUCCCAAUCCUGAAGAUCCCAAUCCCGAGGAUCCCAGUCCCAAGGCUGAUCCCGAGGAUCCGAAGGCGCUCCCGGAUCCCGAUCCAUAGGCAGAUCCUACAGUUCCCGAUCCGUAGGCGGCUCCUGAGGCUCCCAGUCCUGAGGAUCCCAAUCCUGAAGAUCCCAAUCCUGAAGAUCCCAAUCCUGAGGAUCCCAGUCCUGACGAUCCCAAUCCUGAAGAUCCCAAUCCUGAGGCUCCCAGUCCUGAGGAUCCCAGUCCUGACGAUCCAAGUCCUGACGAUCCAAAUCCUGAGGAUCCAAAUCCCGAAGAUCCCAGUCCGGAAGAUCCCAGUCCCGAGGAUCCCAGUCCCGAGGAUCCCAGUCCGGAAGAUCCCAGUCCUGACGAUCCCAGUCCCGAGGAUCCCAGUCCCGAGGAUCCCAGUCCCGAGGAUCCGAGUCCUGAGGAUCCCAGUCCUGACGAUCCCAGUCCUGAGGAUCCCAGUCCCGAGGAUCCCAGUCCCGAGGAUCCCAGUCCAGAAGAUCCCAGUCCCGAGGAUCCCAGUCCAGAAGAUCCCAGUCCUGAGGAUCCCAGUCCAGAAGAUCCCAGUCCCGAGGAUCCCAGUCCCAAGGCCGAUCCGGCGGAUCCGUAGGCGGCUCCCGAGGAUCCGAAUCCCGAGGAUCCCAAUCCCGAGGAUCCCAAUCCCGAGGAUCCCAAUCCCGAGGAUCCCUCGGAGGAUCCCAGCCCCAGCUCCGGAGCCUUGGGAGUCUCCCAGGAUCCGUAGGCGGCUCCGGGCGGCGCCGAGGCCGAGCCCGCGUAGAACUCGUAGCUCUCAUAGCCUGGAGGGGGAAAUCGGGAUAAAACCUCAAGUUUCCAGUGGGAAUUAAGGAUUAAUUCCAGAAGGAAAUAUUCCAGGAAUAUUUCCAGGAGGGAAAACUCUCGGGAAUAAAUCCCGGUCUCCAUUUUUUGGGAUAAAAUCC
RNAcentral lists this long non-coding RNA (958 nucleotides) under Parus major (Great Tit). RNAcentral's name for it is "lncRNA (ENSPMJG00000003828.1)". Lineage: Eukaryota; Metazoa; Chordata; Aves; Passeriformes; Paridae. The record is from RNAcentral.